This 331-nucleotide long non-coding RNA is filed under the name Fragaria vesca (wild strawberry). RNAcentral's name for it is "long non-coding RNA (FVES_LNC003989)". Lineage: Eukaryota; Viridiplantae; Streptophyta; Magnoliopsida; Rosales; Rosaceae. The record is from RNAcentral.
AUAAUGUCUGGAAGAAAGACUUCGUGUUUCUCCCAGUUAUGCACAAGAAACAUCAGCACUACACCUUGUUAGUCCUAAACAAAGAACUUGAAUGUUGGGAACAUUAUAACACGCAAUCCCCAACGCAUUCUACAUCAGUGGACCAUUUCUUUGAAGAUGCAUCCAAAUUGGUAGGUUGCUGUUAUCUAUGGUCUGUGUAAUAUGCAAGACGUAUAAGAGAUUUGAUUAGAUCUUAAAGUACAUUGCAGCAUGUUGAAAUUUCGAAGCACUUAGCAUUUUUGUACCACCUUGAUCCUUUAAUAUGUUGUUUAAAUUUUCCAUGAACCACGUC